This 693-nucleotide ribosomal RNA is filed under the name Acinetobacter sp. RNAcentral describes it as "bacterial SSU rRNA". It matches the Rfam family "Bacterial small subunit ribosomal RNA", at positions 56 to 748 of the family's 1533-position model. The record is from RNAcentral. Lineage: Bacteria; Pseudomonadati; Pseudomonadota; Gammaproteobacteria; Moraxellales; Moraxellaceae.
UGCAGUCGAGCGGUAGCACAGGAGAGCUUGCUCUCGGGUGACGAGCGGCGGACGGGUGAGUAAUGUCUGGGAAACUGCCUGAUGGAGGGGGAUAACUACUGGAAACGGUAGCUAAUACCGCAUAACGUCGAAAGACCAAAGUGGGGGACCUUCGGGCCUCUGCCAUCAGAUGUGCCCAGAUGGGAUUAGCUAGUAGGUGGGGUAAUGGCUCACCUAGGCGACGAUCCCUAGCUGGUCUGAGAGGAUGACCAGCCACACUGGAACUGAGACACGGUCCAGACUCCUACGGGAGGCAGCAGUGGGGAAUAUUGCACAAUGGGCGCAAGCCUGAUGCAGCCAUGCCGCGUGUAUGAAGAAGGCCUUCGGGUUGUAAAGUACUUUCAGCGAGGAGGAAGGCUUAAGGUUAAUAACCUUAGAUUGACGUUACUCGCAGAAGAAGCACCGGCUAACUCCGUGCCAGCAGCCGCGGUAAUACGGAGGGUGCAAGCGUUAAUCGGAAUUACUGGGCGUAAAGCGCACGCAGGCGGUUGUAAGUCAGAUGUGAAAUCCCCGGGCUCAACCUGGGAACUGCAUUUGAAACUGGCAAGCUUGAGUCUUGUAGAGGGGGGUAGAAUUCCAGGUGUAGCGGUGAAAUGCGUAGAGAUCUGGAGGAAUACCGGUGGCGAAGCGGCCCCCUGGACAAGACUGACGCUC